GACGAACGCUGGCGGCGUGCUUAACACAUGCAAGUCGAACGGAAAGGCCCUGCUUUUGUGGGUUGCUCGAGUGGCGAACGGGUGUGUAACACGUGAGUAACCUGCCCUUGACUUUGGGAUAACUUCAGGAAACUGGGGCUAAUACCGGAUAUGAUCUCCUGCUGCAUGUUGGGGGUUGGUAAGUUUCGGCGGUUGGGUAUGGACUCGCGGCUUAUCAGCUUGUUGGUGGGGUAGUGGCUUACCCAGGCUUUGACGGGUAGCCGGCCUGGGAGGGUGAACGGCCACAUGGGGACUGAGAGACGGCCCAGAAGCCUACGGGAGGCAGCAGGGGGGAAUAUUGCACAAUGGGCGGAAGCCUGAUGCAGCAACGCCGCGAGCGGGAUGACGGCCUUCGGGUUGUAAACCGCUUUCGCCUGUGACGAAGAGUGAGUGACGGUAAUGGGUAAAGAAGCAACGGCUAACUACGUG
Molecule: ribosomal RNA, 468 nt
Filed under: uncultured bacterium
Lineage: Bacteria
Description: partial 16S ribosomal RNA
Rfam family: Bacterial small subunit ribosomal RNA
Source: RNAcentral